GUACACGCUGUGACUAGCAUAUCAAUAAGCGGAGGAAAAGAAACUAACAAGGAUUCCCCUAGUAACGGCGAGUGAAGCGGGAAGAGCUCAAAUUUGAAAUCUUAAAGGGUUUCCCUUUACGAAUUGUAGUUUAAAGAAGUGUUUUCUGUUGAGGUUUUGGUAAAAGUUCUUUGGAAUAGGACAUCAUAGAGGGUGAGAAUCCCGUAUUUGAGCCUUUACUUUCAACUUUGUGAUACACUUUCAAAGAGUCGGAUUGUUUGGGAAUGCAGUCCAAAAUGGGUGGUAAAUUUCAUCUAAAGCUAAAUAUUGGCGAGAGACCGAUAGCGAACAAGUACCGUGAGGGAAAGAUGAAAAGAACUUUGAAAAGAGAGUUAAACAGUACGUGAAAUUGUCAAAAGGGAAGCGUUUGACACCAGUGUUGUUUUUCUGAAAAUCAAUUAAAGAACUGUUUAUGCUAAGUUGUUUAGACUUUAUCAGCUAACUGUUUAGUUUUGAGCUUUUCUUUAAUGCACUUUUCAGUUAACAAGUCAACAUCAAUUUCUUUUGCUGUAAAAAAGCUUGAGGAAGGUGGCUUGAGAUUCGUCUUAAGUGUUUAUAGGCCUCUUGCCUAUGCAGUCGGAGAGAUUGAGGUCUGCAGCGUAGAUCCUUCGGGGCUAAAUGCAUUUGUGCUAAGUUAUAGCAUUUUAUAGACAACUUGUUGACUAUGAUUUGUCUUGUAGCUUACUCGCUUAUGUUAUUUUACCUACGCUUAGGAUGUUGACAGCAGUAUAGACUGU
RNAcentral lists this ribosomal RNA (776 nucleotides) under uncultured Neocallimastigales. Its description in RNAcentral is "partial large subunit ribosomal RNA". It matches the Rfam family "Eukaryotic large subunit ribosomal RNA", at positions 22 to 637 of the family's 3401-position model. The record is from RNAcentral. Lineage: Eukaryota; Fungi; Neocallimastigomycota; Neocallimastigomycetes; Neocallimastigales.